AGGUAAAAAAACAAAAAUAAUAAAUUACUUUUAUAAAUGGGUGACAAGGAAAGUAAUUUUAUAUACAAAACGAUAAUACAACUCAAAUACAAUCGGGCACGCAUAAAGUUACCGAGAAAAAUAUGAAAUAGAAAUGCUAUAAAUCUGUUUAAUCUGAAAAUAACACAAUAUGACACGUUAUGACACAAAUAGAAAAUAAGAUUUUACUAUAAUUAUUAAGUAACUAUUUUAAUUAUCUUGAUUACACAAUUAUCGAACACGAACACGAACACGACUCACAAACUAAAGCCACCACAAUUUAAUACA
This 306-nucleotide long non-coding RNA is filed under the name Ananas comosus (pineapple). RNAcentral's name for it is "long non-coding RNA (ACOM_LNC011757)". Lineage: Eukaryota; Viridiplantae; Streptophyta; Magnoliopsida; Poales; Bromeliaceae. The record is from RNAcentral.